GAUUUCUGGUGUGGAAGCACUGGCCCGCCUCUUCGGAGGUGUGUUGCCGGCUGCUUUCAGCCAUCCUUCUAGUUAACCGUUCUAACCUUCACUGGCUUGGGACGGUGAGCUAGAUCUUUUACUUUGAAAAAAUUAGAGUGUUCAAAGCAGGCUUACCGCUGUGAAUACAUUAGCAUGGAAUAAUAAGAUAGGACUUCGGUUUUAUUUUGUUGGUUUCUAGGACUGAAGUAAUGAUUGAUAGGGAUAGUUGGGGGUGCUAGUAUUCAAUGGCCAGAGGUGAAAUUCUUGGAUUCAUUGAAGACUAACUUAUGCGAAAGCAUU
This 321-nucleotide ribosomal RNA is filed under the name Cercozoa sp. RNAcentral describes it as "SSU rRNA". The stretch from base 61 to 321 matches the Rfam family "Eukaryotic small subunit ribosomal RNA", at positions 694 to 955 of the family's 1831-position model. Lineage: Eukaryota; Cercozoa. The record is from RNAcentral.